Long non-coding RNA from Mauremys reevesii (Reeves's turtle), 2828 nucleotides. RefSeq lists it as uncharacterized. NCBI's taxonomy places the organism in Eukaryota, Metazoa, Chordata, Testudines, Geoemydidae. The transcript has 4 exons. The record is from RefSeq and is a predicted model, not a curated record.
GCCUUCCUUCCUAGCCCUGCAGCCCCGCCCACUCCACUCCACUCCACUCCCAGGCUCGGAACAGGCCUCGCCUCUAAGACGUGAUUGGCGGCAACACAAGGCACUGCCCCUACGCUAGUUGGGUUGCGCAUGCGCUGUGUUCACGUCCGAGGGGGAGGGCCCUUGAUAUAGCGAGCGCAUGCGCCUAGCUCUCUCUGGGCGGGUCCGGAGCCCUUCUGGCUUUAGUCUGCGGAGGCUCUGAUGGUUCCCAGCAAGAGCCGGGGAGUAGUAACAGCUCUUCCGCCCGCCUGAGCCGGUGUCUGGAACCCCGCGCUGUUCAGCGGCCGGCCGGCCGGCACCGCGGGGUUGCUCAUUUUCUUCACAGCCUCGAGGACGGGACAGGGCCGCGCGGGGGAGGGGAUCAGUCUCUCUCCCAGGGACACAGAUACAACAGCAGCCGCCUUAUAGUCCUAGUUGGGGGAGAGGGAGACAGAUCUAAUCAGAGGCAUUUCCAGCUACCUGCCUGUGAACUGGUCAAGUGUCAACACAGGGCAAAGUUAAAACUGAUUUUUUUUCAACACCGUAAAUUACUUCUCCAGCUAGCCACUUCUAGUGCAGGAAAGGACAGGCUCAACUAUGAUGAUUCAACCAUCGAGUUAUAGCACAAACUAGCUAAUUCCUCUUUAACAUAGUGUUAGACUGAGAUGUAAAAUGCACACACAAGUGAGAUUAUUUCAGCUUGUCAGGAAGAAGCCUAAAACUAUCGGAAGGGCUCCUGUAGUACCAAGGAGCAAUUGAGGACAUAGAGAGAACAAAGGAGCUAAAUCACUUCCUUGCAUCAGUUUUCAAAGGAUAAAGCAGGUGCAUGAGGAAGGCAGUGAAGUAUAAUGAAAUUCAGAACUGAGAGGAGGAAAGGAUAUUCACCUUCUUCCCACAUAUUUUCUUUUGGAAUGGAAGUUGAGAUGACAUUAAACUGAUUCUUCUAGAAACAUGCAUGAAAUGAAAACAGCAAUCUAGCUCUUCAUUUAUACGCACUUCAAAUAAGGAAACAUAUCCAGUGUUGCGACUAACAAGGCUGACUUCAACAUUGAAGUUUCAAGAUAAGCAAAUUUAGGCCCUGAUCAGCACUUGAGCAGACUCAUGUUCAUGCAGAGCCCCAGUGACUUAAAGGGACUUCACUUCGCUCAUUGCAAGAUCUGACCUGGAGGUGCUACCAGAUAUUUUGCUGAAGUACAGCAGCUGACGCUUUUUGCGGAAGUGUGAUUCCUAACUGUGACAUUUCUUGCUAUGAUACUGUGUUCUUACAUGAUAUCACAUCCCAUUAUAGAACCAGUCUGUGAUAACUGGUAAUUAGCAUGGCUAUGUUUUAUAGUUAGAGAUAGAACAACGAAAGCAUAGCCUGGGCUCUAGGAGCCCACAACAUAUUUAUAGAAAUAUAGUAACAUGAUACCAGCAGUUUCCCUAAAACAAAACAAUCAGGGAUACAUUUUCCUCUUCCUGUUUGUGAUAUGGCACAUUCGUACAGUUGGGGUAUUAUUGCAGUUAAAUAGAAUUUUAGCCUGCCUGGCUGCAGAGAAAAGCUUGAAAAUAUGAGCCCUAAAGUCUCAAAAAUUAAAAAGAUAAUAAGACUAGCUAGAGUUUAUUUUUAAAAAUCUUAUAAUUUUUAAGCUAAUUUCAUGAGGUUUUAGGGCCUGCAUCAAUCUUUGAAUACUUAUGGUUGGCAAUUUUGAGUAUACUGUUUAAAAAUGGUUCAUUUAUAUUUUGCAGAGCCAAAGAGCAGUAGCUCUAAAGGGAUGUUGGGAAAAAUUACCUGUAAGAGAGCAAUCCUGAAUUGUGAGUUAGUAGGAUCAGAAAGCCAUUUAAGAAGGUGCACAGGCUUUUUCGGAGUGGUGCAGGAAAGAAAGUUAGCUCUCCUAACUUCCAAUACUAUGCUUUAACCACAAGACCAUCUUUCACGUUAAACCACUGAAAGAAACACAAAUAGCCCUACCAUCUGGAAUUAAAUCCUAAUUUGAAAUGAAAACAAUUUUUAUUAACCCAGGACUAGUUUGUUUUGAGUGCAACAUAAUGGAAUAUAAGGAGCACCACUUGUGUGUUUUCAAUAGGGUAUUUCAUGCAGAAGUUGAUCUAAUUGUAAGUGCAAAAAUUAAAACAGUACCCACCAUAUUUUAAAAAUGUAACAUACUGUUUAGCACUUCUGUUACUUAGAAGCUUUUAUCUUAACAGCUUAAUCCCUAAUUAUGGAUAAAUCAUUUUGUCAGUUUUAAAGACUAGUUCAUACUAAGGCUGCAAUGGGAUUAAGUUCCUUUCCCCUUUUUUAGGCUUUAUCCCGGGCCCCAGGAAGAGGGGCAGGUUGUGAACCCUGAUACAUCCACCCAGUCCUACUUCUUGUUCAGCCAAUCGCUAAGAGAAAAAAGUUUGUUUACAUUUAUGGGAGAUAAUGCUGCCCGCUUCUUAUUUACAAUGUCACCUGAAAGUAAGAAAAGGCAUUCGCAUGGCGCUUUUGUAGUUGGCACUGCAAGGUAUUUACGUGCCAGGUAUGCUAAACAUUCAUAUGCCUCUUCUUGCUUCGACCACCAUUCCAGAGGACAUGCUUCCAUGCUGAUCGUGCUUGUUUAAAAAAAUGCAUUAAUUAAAUUUCUGACUGAACUCCUUGGAAGAGAAUUGUAUAUCUCCUCAUAUAUUUUGUGUUAUGGUAGUCUAGGAUGAUGACAUGUUAUUUGAUUUAAGAACCUUUCACUACAGAUUUGACAAAACACAAAGAAGGUUCCAAUCUCAGAUUUCUAAAGAUAACUACAGCACUCAACCCAAGGUUUAAGAAUCUGAAGUGCCUUCCAAAAUCUGAGAGG